GAUGAAGAACGCAGCGAAAUGCGAUAAGUAAUGUGAAUUGCAGAAUUCAGUGAAUCAUCGAAUCUUUGAACGCACCUUGCACCCUUUGGCAUUCCGAAGGGUAUGCUCGUUUGAGUGUCAUUGUACUCUCACACUCUCCGAUCCUAUGGAUUCGGGGAGCGGUGGACUUGGGUGUUGCUGCCUUUCCUUGUGGCUCACCUCAAAUGUGUCAGUGCACCUCUUGGUUGGACAUAGUACGGCGUGAUAAGUGUCUUCGCCGGCACCUCGCAAGAGGGUGGCCGAUCGGGAGCUCUGUGCUUUCAAACCGUCUUCGGACAAUUUCUGACAACUUGACCUCAAAUCGAGUAGGACUACCCGCUGAACUUAAGCAUAUCAUAAGCGGAGGA
This 386-nucleotide unclassified non-coding RNA is filed under the name soil metagenome. RNAcentral describes it as "partial contains 5.8S ribosomal RNA, internal transcribed spacer 2, and large subunit ribosomal RNA". The stretch from base 1 to 120 matches the Rfam family "5.8S ribosomal RNA", at positions 35 to 154 of the family's 154-position model. The record is from RNAcentral.